CUUUUAUAUGCUCUGCUCGUUUUAUUUCAAGCUUUUUGUCAUUUAUAAUUUUAUAUUCUAUAACAUCUGCGGUUUUUUGUUUUUGUUUUUCUGUUUUUGGGGGGUUUUUUUUGAGACGGAGUCUGGCGCUGUCACCAGGCUGGAGUGCAGUGAUGCGAUCUCGGCUCACUGCAACCUCCGCCUCCCAGGUUCAAGCGAUUCUCCUGCCUCAGCCUCCCAAGUAGCUGGGACUACAGGCAUGCGCCACCACGCCCAGCUAAUUUUUGUAUUUUUAGUAGAGACCAGGUUUCACCGUGUUGGCCAGGAUGGUCUUGAUCUCUUGACCUCCUGAUCCGCCCGCCUCAGCCUCCCAAAGUGUUGGGAUUACAGGCAUGAGCCACCACACCCAGCCACAUGAGUGUAUUUUUGACAGCAAUGUAGUCACCAAUAAACGAGUAACUUCAGUUAAAGUACUGUAGAUUAUAAUACACAGCCCUGUAAUCUACCCUGGAGUUCAACAAACGGUAUUGAAAACAGACUGUGUUCCAGAUGCAAUAGGAAGAGAAUAAAUAAGAUAAACAAUACAUAAAUCCUGCCCAGAAGACGUUUGCAAUUUUUUAAGAGGAAAAACAUGAAGACAAAUUGUUUUAAGAUGUUUGCUAUUUUCAAUAGUUGAAAAAUAAACAGGAGAGAAGGGAUUAUUUAACUGUGGGUAUGUAGGGCUGAGAAAGGCACGCUUGACAAAGGAAACCUGGGCAGUGUUACCAGAAAGCGUUGCCAAUCAUGAGUCCAUAUAGUGAAGUGAAAGCAAGUUUAUUAAAGAAGUAAAGAAACAAAAGAAUGGCUACUCCAUAGGCAGAGCAGUGGCUUGGGCUGCUGGACUGAGUAUAUAGUUUUUUUGUGUGUUGUUUGUUUGUUUUGACACGGAGUCUUGCUCUGUCGCCCAGGCUGGAGUGCAGUGGCGCCAUCUCGGCUCACUGCAAGCUCCGCCUCCCGGGUUCACGCCAUUCUCCUGCCUCAGCCUCCCGAGUAGCUGGAAAUUUAUUGUAUUUUUAGUAGAGACAGGGUUUCACCGUGUUAGCCAGGAUGGUCUCAAUCUACUGACCUGGUGAUCCUCCUGGCUCGGCCUCCCAAAGUGCUGGGAUUACAGGCGUGAGCCACCGCGCCCAGCCAGUUAUUUCUUAAUUAUAUGUUAAACAAGGGGUGGAUUAUUCAUGAGUUUUCAAGGAAGGGGGCAGGCAAUUUUUGGAACUUAGGGUUCUACCCUCUUUUAGACUGUAUGACUUCUGGAUGUUGCCAUGGCAUUUGUAAACUGUCAUGGUGCUGGUGGGAGUGUCUUUUAGCAUGCUAAUGCAUUAUAAUUCACGUAUAAUGAGAAGUGAGGAUGACCAGAGGUCACUUUUGUCUUCAUCUUGGUUUUGGUGGGUUUGGCCUGUCUUCUUUACGACAUCCUGUUUAUCAGCAGGGUCUUUGUGACCUGUAUCUUGCGUGGACCUCCAAUCUUCUGUGACUAAGAAUGCCUAACCUCCUGGGAAUGCAGCUCAGUAGGUCUCAGCCUCGUUUUACCCAGCACCUGUUCAAGUUGGAGUCACUCUGGUUCAAACGCCUCUGACAACAGGACUAUUGGAGUACUGAUAGGAGUUUAUUUGCCUUAAUCACCUGGCCACCCUAUCCCUUUCUUAUUUCCUCCCUACUCCUCCGUCCUGGGAGACUGAAUUCAAAUAGACAAUGGCCAGAGAAUAUAUACAAAUAGAACACUAACCUACAACCUUCAACAACCAGUCCAGGAAGGCAACCUACUAUGUCCAGUAACCAGUCCAAGAAAUCAGAUUACUAUAUUUAGCAACCAGUCCAGGAAGCCAAGCAAUAACCCUUGUAGCAAUCUACCCCAAAUGGCCAGGACGUGAUUAAUAACUUACAGCUUCUGUAAGUUUUGUCAGGGCUUCCAACUCAAGGCCAGCUAGAGAGAGCCAAAUAUCUACCCACCCCUAAAUAAUUACAUAGGAUGCCCUGCUUUUAGUUAGCCCACCUGCAGCUUCUCCAUGCCAACAGCCUUGAAUUGGCAUACCUGAAGCUUUCCCUUUUUUCCACUCUAAAGCUUUCUCACUCCUCUGCCUGCCGUUGAGUCUCUGACAAAUGCAAGUGAUGAUGGCUGACUCCCUUGCUAUUGUAAGCUCCAAAUAAAUUUGGCUUUGCUUGUUCUC
Molecule: long non-coding RNA, 2183 nt
Filed under: Homo sapiens (human)
Lineage: Eukaryota; Metazoa; Chordata; Mammalia; Primates; Hominidae
Description: non-protein coding lnc-ZUFSP-4:2
Source: RNAcentral